Molecule: non-coding RNA, 153 nt
Organism: Hepatocystis sp. ex Piliocolobus tephrosceles
Lineage: Eukaryota; Apicomplexa; Aconoidasida; Haemosporida; Plasmodiidae
Source: the annotation of a GenBank genome assembly
UUUAAAUUGUAAAGACAUGCAAAACCUAACGGGCAGGAUUUUUUCAAAAAUAAUGAAAUUAAUCAUAAUCAGUUUAGGUGACAAAAAAUUAAAGUAAAAAAAAAAAAAUUGUAAUUUUUUUUAACGAUUUACAAUGCUUUUUUUUUUGCUUUA